Molecule: unclassified non-coding RNA, 218 nt
Filed under: Hevea brasiliensis (rubber tree)
Lineage: Eukaryota; Viridiplantae; Streptophyta; Magnoliopsida; Malpighiales; Euphorbiaceae
Source: RNAcentral
AUUUCUAAGGACCAUGAACGAGCUUACUUUGAUUCUGCCGAUUGGGCACUUGGAAAGCAAGGUGUUGAGAAACCUAAAGGUCCUCUUGAAGCUUUACGGCCAAAAUUACAGCCUACACAACAGCAGACACGAUACCGAAAGUCUCCUUAUGCCCCACCCCCACCAGAUGGUGAAGAUACAGGAAGCUCGCCAUCAGAGGAUGCACCUGCAAAUGAAUG